CACAUCGUCGUCUUCCCAUGGCUUGCCUUCGGCCACAUGUUGCCCUUUCUCGAGCUCUCCAAAUCCAUAGCCAAACUCGGCCACCGCAUCUCCUUCGUCUCCACCCCAAGAAACAUCGAGAGACUCCCCAAACUCCCUCCCCAGCUAACCAAUCUUAUUCAUCUCGUCCCACUCACUCUCCCGCCGACAGAUGGUCUCCCGGCCAAUGCCGAGGCCACCUCCGACAUCCCCGGCAAUCUGGCUGCGUACCUCAAGAAAGCCUUAGAUGGCCUCCAGUCGGAGUUUAUCAAGUUCAUGGAGGAGGCGUCCCCUAAGGUCGACUGGAUCAUCAUGGACUUUGCACAGUGGUGGCUGCCCAAGAUUGGUGAGGAGUUUGGGGUGCCGUGUGUCUUCUUCAGCGUGUUCAUCCCCGCUAUGUAUAAUUUCUUUGGUCUGCGGUGGGGCAACGAACCAACACUGGAGG
Molecule: unclassified non-coding RNA, 463 nt
Filed under: Hevea brasiliensis (rubber tree)
Lineage: Eukaryota; Viridiplantae; Streptophyta; Magnoliopsida; Malpighiales; Euphorbiaceae
Source: RNAcentral